This 264-nucleotide ribosomal RNA is filed under the name uncultured Ascomycota. RNAcentral's name for it is "partial 18S ribosomal RNA". It matches the Rfam family "Eukaryotic small subunit ribosomal RNA", at positions 619 to 888 of the family's 1831-position model. The record is from RNAcentral. Lineage: Eukaryota; Fungi; Ascomycota.
UUAAAAAGCUCGUAGUUGAACCUUGGGCCUGGCUGGCCGGUCCGCCUCACCGCGUGUGCUGGUCCGGCCGGGCCUUUCCCUCUGUGGAACCCCAUGCCCUUCACUGGGUGUGGCGGGGAAACAGGACUUUUACUUUGAAAAAAUUAGAGUGCUCCAGGCAGGCCUAUGCUCGAAUACAUUAGCAUGGAAUAAUAGAAUAGGACGUGUGGUUCUAUUUUGUUGGUUUCUAGGACCGCCGUAAUGAUUAAUAGGGACAGUCGGGGG